CCCAGCAAGUUUAAAUACAACAAUAUAGGGAUAUAUCAUGAUUGAAGAGUAUGAAUAAUAAGCUGGCUAUAAUUCAUCAAUAUAAUUGAGAACUAGCAGGAACAAACUUUUGACUGAACAAGUUUUAAACAUGAACAAACAUUUCUGAACCAACUGGUAAUGAAGGUGAUCAGCCUUUCAUACCUGACUUAUACAUGCAAGAUGUACAGAGUACAAUUUUCAUGGCAAUCAGCAAUGAUUAACCAUAAGCUUGAAUAAAACACUCUUAUUAGAGUUAAG
Molecule: long non-coding RNA, 279 nt
Filed under: Panax ginseng (ginseng)
Lineage: Eukaryota; Viridiplantae; Streptophyta; Magnoliopsida; Apiales; Araliaceae
Description: long non-coding RNA (PGIN_LNC005235)
Source: RNAcentral